GUGGGUGAUAAAAAUUAUUAUGAUACACGGAAGACUUGCGAAGGUAACCUUUGCUAUGACUUCUCGAGGAUGGAAACUUACCUCAACGACAACCAAGUUAAGCGUGCCCUUGGUGUUGGUGACAUCGAGUUCGUGUCAUGUAGUUCUAUAGUUAAACAGGCGUUGGGUACGGAUAUGAUGAAGAGUUUUGUAGUUGGUAUUCCUCCACUUCUUGAGGAUGGUAUCAAUCUACUCAUUUACGCGGGAGAGUAUGACCUUAUGUGCAACUGGCUUGGGAACUCAAAUUGGGUGCAUGCAAUGGAAUGGUCUGGGAAAAGAGAAUUUGGUGCUGCACCAUCCAUUAAUUUUACAGUAGAAGGUGAGGAUAAAGGAGUUCAAAAGAAUCAUGGACCUUUGACAUUCCUCAAGGUUCAUGAUGCAGGUCAUAUGGUUCCAAUGGACCAACCCAAGGCAGCAUUGGCAAUGCUCCAAAGAUGGACACAAGGCAAAUUGUCCAACACUUAAAUAAAAAGAUCAACAAUUCGUUAUUUAUAGGUUGCAUCUUGGGAUCUAGAGGUGAACAAAAUCAAAUCGCAAGCUACUUCUAAUCGAAAAAUCAAAGCAAAUCGCAUAAAAAUCGCACUUAUAUUUGAUUUGAUUUUGCAUUGAGUUCUAAAAAUCUGAACCAAAUCAGCAUAUAAAUAUUAUACUUUUUAUGCAGGUUUUCAGUAGAAAUCUCUAGAAAUAUUUGUG
This 732-nucleotide unclassified non-coding RNA is filed under the name Hevea brasiliensis (rubber tree). Lineage: Eukaryota; Viridiplantae; Streptophyta; Magnoliopsida; Malpighiales; Euphorbiaceae. The record is from RNAcentral.